GACGAACGCUGGCGGCGUGCCUAAUACAUGCAAGUAGAACGCUGAAGGAGGAGCUUGCUCUUCUGGAUGAGUUGCGAACGGGUGAGUAACGCGUAGGUAACCUGCCUGGUAGCGGGGGAUAACUAUUGGAAACGAUAGCUAAUACCGCAUAAUAGUAGAUGUUGCAUGAUAUUUACUUAAAAGGUGCAAUUGCACCACUACCAGAUGGACCUGCGUUGUAUUAGCUAGUUGGUGGGGUAACGGCUCACCAAGGCGACGAUACAUAGCCGACCUGAGAGGGUGAUCGGCCACACUGGGACUGAGACACGGCCCAGACUCCUACGGGAGGCAGCAGUAGGGAAUCUUCGGCAAUGGACGAAAGUCUGACCGAGCAACGCCGCGGGAGUGAAGAAGGGUUUCGGAUCGUAAAGCUCUGUUGUAAGAGAAGAACGAGUGUGAGAGUGGAAAGUUCACACUGUGACGGUAGCUUAACAGAAAGGGACGGCUAACUACGUG
This 495-nucleotide ribosomal RNA is filed under the name uncultured bacterium. RNAcentral describes it as "partial 16S ribosomal RNA". It matches the Rfam family "Bacterial small subunit ribosomal RNA", at positions 28 to 507 of the family's 1533-position model. The record is from RNAcentral.